This 508-nucleotide ribosomal RNA is filed under the name uncultured Bacteroidales bacterium. RNAcentral describes it as "bacterial SSU rRNA". It matches the Rfam family "Bacterial small subunit ribosomal RNA", at positions 28 to 523 of the family's 1533-position model. Lineage: Bacteria; Pseudomonadati; Bacteroidota; Bacteroidia; Bacteroidales. The record is from RNAcentral.
GAUGAACGCUAGCUACAGGCUUAACACAUGCAAGUCGAGGGGAAACGAUAUUGGAAGCUUGCUUCCGAUAGGCGUCGACCGGCGCACGGGUGAGUAACGCGUAUCCAACCUGCCCAUCACUUGGGGAUAACCUUGCGAAAGUAAGACUAAUGCCCAAUGACAUUUAUAGAAGGCAUCGGAAAUGAAUUAAAGAUUUAUCGGUGAUGGAUGGGGAUGCGUCUGAUUAGCUUGUUGGCGGGGUAACGGCCCACCAAGGCGACGAUCAGUAGGGGUUCUGAGAGGAAGGUCCCCCACAUUGGAACUGAGACACGGUCCAAACUCCUACGGGAGGCAGCAGUGAGGAAUAUUGGUCAAUGGGCGAGAGCCUGAACCAGCCAAGUAGCGUGCAGGAUGACGGCCCUAUGGGUUGUAAACUGCUUUUAUAAGGGAAUAAAGUGAGUCACGUGUGACUUUUUGCAUGUACCCUAUGAAUAAGGACCGGCUAAUUCCGUGCCAGCCGCCGCGGUAA